GAUCCUGGCUCAGAACGAACGCUGGCGGCAGGCUAACACAUGCAAGUCGAGCGCGCCCUUCGGGGUGAGCGGCGGACGGGUUAGUAACGCGUGGGAACAUACCUUUCGGUAAGGAAUAGCCACUGGAAACGGUGAGUAAUACCUUAUACGCCCUUCGGGGGAAAGAUUUAUCGCCGAGAGAUUGGCCCGCGUUAGAUUAGAUAGUUGGUGGGGUAAUGGCCUACCAAGUCUACGAUCUAUAGCUGGUUUUAGAGGAUGAUCAGCAACACUGGGACUGAGACACGGCCCAGACUCCUACGGGAGGCAGCAGUGGGGAAUCUUGGACAAUGGGCGCAAGCCUGAUCCAGCCAUGCCGCGUGAGUGAUGAAGGCCUUAGGGUCGUAAAGCUCUUUCGCCAGGGAUGAUAAUGACAGUACCUGGUAAAGAAACCCCGGCUAACUCCGUGCCAGCAGCCGCGGUAAUACGGAGGGGGUUAGCGUUGUUCGGAAUUACUGGGCGUAAAGCGCGCGUAGGCGGAUUAUUAAGUUAGAGGUGAAAUCCCAGGGCUCAACCCUGGAACUGCCUUUAAUACUGGUAGUCUAGAGUUCGAGAGAGGUGAGUGGAAUUCCGAGUGUAGAGGUGAAAUUCGUAGAUAUUCGGAGGAACACCAGUGGCGAAGGCGGCUCACUGGCUCGAUACUGACGCUGAGGUGCGAAAGCGUGGGGAGCAA
Molecule: ribosomal RNA, 709 nt
Filed under: Thalassobius sp. B54Fa
Lineage: Bacteria; Pseudomonadati; Pseudomonadota; Alphaproteobacteria; Rhodobacterales; Roseobacteraceae
Description: bacterial SSU rRNA
Rfam family: Bacterial small subunit ribosomal RNA
Source: RNAcentral